RNAcentral lists this ribosomal RNA (466 nucleotides) under uncultured bacterium. RNAcentral describes it as "bacterial SSU rRNA". It matches the Rfam family "Bacterial small subunit ribosomal RNA", at positions 330 to 793 of the family's 1533-position model. The record is from RNAcentral.
ACCAGACUCCUACGGGAGGCAGCAGUGAGGAGUAUUGGUCAAUGGGCUUACGCCUGAACCAGCCAAGUCGCGUGAGGGAAGACUGCCCUAUGGGUUGUAAACCUCUUUUGCCGGGGAGCAAGCGUGCGUUCGUGAACGCGCGUCGAGAGUACCCGGAGAAAAAGCAUCGGCUAACUCCGUGCCAGCAGCCGCGGUAAUACGGAGGAUGCGAGCGUUAUCCGGAUUUAUUGGGUUUAAAGGGUGCGUAGGCGGGCUUUUAAGUCAGCGGUAAAAAUUCGGGGCUCAACCCCGUCCGGCCGUUGAAACUGGGGGCCUUGAGUGGGCGAGAAGAAGGCGGAAUGCGUGGUGUAGCGGUGAAAUGCAUAGAUAUCACGCAGAACUCCGAUUGCGAAGGCAGCAUGCCGGCUCCACACUGACGCUGAGGCACGAAAGCGUGGGUAUCGAACAGGAUUAGAUACCCGGGUAC